Molecule: unclassified non-coding RNA, 401 nt
Filed under: Hevea brasiliensis (rubber tree)
Lineage: Eukaryota; Viridiplantae; Streptophyta; Magnoliopsida; Malpighiales; Euphorbiaceae
Source: RNAcentral
UUGUCCCAGUUCAAUUUGGACACCAAAAACUUCUCACAGCAACUCUUGAGAUGCUUCACCUGGUAUUUUUCAGCCAACACUAAAAGGUCGCAGGCCAGUUGCUCAUCAAGGCAUGCUUCAGCAGUGUAUAAAUAGUUGACAAAUGAGCGAAGGGCAUCAUAUGAUACGUCACUAAUCUUGAUGGUGCCACUUCGGCUUUCUUCCAUCUCAUUCUCAAGCAUUGCUUUAAACACUGGAGAACGACUCGCCAAAACAGCCUUAUGGGCAGGGACAGACAAGGGAGACCCAGUUGGUCCACUAUCGGAGGAGGCGACCAAAACGACGUCAGUGAAACAGGGUCCAGAGGACCUAUUGCUGUGGUGGUGAUCCAGCGGAGACCAGAAUCGCAAGAAGGCAACUUU